UACGGGAGGCAGCAGUGGGGAAUAUUGCACAAUGGGCGAAAGCCUGAUGCAGCUAUGCCGCGUGUAUGAAGAAGGCCUUAGGGUUGUAAAGUACUUUCAUCGGGGAGGAAAAACAAAACUAAUAAUUUUAUUUCUUGACGUUACCCGAAAAAGAAGCACCGGCUAACUCCGUGCCAGCAGCCGCGGUAAUACGGAGGGUGCUAGCGUUAAUCAGAAUUACUGGGCGUAAAGAGCACGUAGGUGGUUUUUUUAAGUCAGAUGUGAAAUCCCUGGGCUUAACCUAGGAACUGCAUUUUGAAACUGAAAUACUAGAGUAUCGUAGAGGGAGGUAGAAUUCUAGGUGUAGCGGUGAAAUGCGUAGAUAUCUGGAGGAAUACCUGUGGCGAAAGCGGCCUCCUAAACGAAUACUGACACUGAGUGCGAAAGCGUGGGGAGCAAACAGGGAUUAGAUACC
This 454-nucleotide ribosomal RNA is filed under the name uncultured bacterium. RNAcentral's name for it is "bacterial SSU rRNA". It matches the Rfam family "Bacterial small subunit ribosomal RNA", at positions 340 to 786 of the family's 1533-position model. The record is from RNAcentral.